Long non-coding RNA from Epinephelus fuscoguttatus (brown-marbled grouper), 1284 nucleotides. RefSeq lists it as uncharacterized. The record is from RefSeq and is a predicted model, not a curated record. NCBI's taxonomy places the organism in Eukaryota, Metazoa, Chordata, Actinopteri, Perciformes, Serranidae. The transcript has 4 exons.
CAGCAGUGAAGGCAGCACGGCCGCUGAGCAGCAGCAGCAGCAGGAUCGUUACGGCAGCUCCGUUCAUCCUCUCUGCGUCACCGGCAACAGUAUCACCCACAAUACACCUCUGCUCAUCAGACUCCAUUACAGCCAGCUGUGAGCAGCGUGUUGCAGUCUGUGACAACAAAGUCCAAAAACUGUGAGAUUUUAGUCUGGACGCACUUCUGCAGUGUGAGCAGACCGUCGAUGGCUGAGUGAUGAGUUCAGGAAGACGACAGGUCACAGAGGUCACAGAGGUCACAGAGACCCUGAUGACAUCAUCACUCAGAGGAGUGCUGACUGAUCCAGCAUCAGUUCGUAGAAGAGAUUAAAACUGUGAAUGAAGCGAGCGCUGCACGUGCUGCUGAGGAUCAGCUGGUUACAUAACUCUUCUGUUCAUAUCUAAUCUGACCAUGUGAUCCCACACACACACACACACACACACACACACACACACACACACACACACACACACACUGAGUGUUAAGUUGAGUUCCUGCUGGACAGUUUUCAAAGAAAGUUUACUUGUCUUGUUUCUUCUCAUUAAAUCUUUGUGCUGCGUUCAAACUGUAAAUUCUCUCUGUGUGUUCCUGUUUUAAAACUCACACACACAGUGAAUGUUUGUAAAUCAAUACAUCGUGCUUUGUUACCUUGAAUUCCUUGCAUGGCUGCAUGGACAACAGUGAACAUACUGAUUUAUUGAUUGAUUGGGGACCUCAUUUAACAACAGUCCUUUUCAAACAUCAGUAUUUAAAACUGAACUGAAACUGAUCUGAGCUCUCCUCAAAGCCAGACUCAACUCUGAGGUUUUUAGUGCAAAUCAAUCUGAACUAUCAAAAGAGCCAUUUUUGACAAAACAUGAUCCAGAAAAAUCUGCCUGGAGCCGCAAAACAUAUUUGAGCCUCAUGCUAACAGUGUGUAUUUAGUCUAAAUUAGCGUACUGACAUAAAAAUAGGUCUAAAUGAGCAUUUAAUAAUGUUUCACCACCAGGCUCGUCUGCAGUGGUCUGUGAUCUACUCAUUAUUAAUUCUGUAUUUUCCUCCGAGAUUUUAACUUUUAUGGAUUUGGAAUGCAUUUUUAGCCGAGACAGGGAGUUUAGAGGAACAGGCACCAGGCUGUGGACGUGUGACGCACGGUUUAGUUGACGAAAUGUUACAACUAAGUGCACAUUUUUACAGGCAGAGAAUGUAGGGAUUUAUUUAGGCCUACAACAGUGACAAAUAAGAAUGAAAAUGUUAAAAAAAAUAAAAAUAAAUAAGUAAA